GACGAACGCUGGCGGCGUGCUUAACACAUGCAAGUCGAACGGAGUGGCGAACGGGUGAGUAACACGUGGGUGAUCUGCCUUGCACUUCGGGAUAAGCUUGGGAAACUGGGUCUAAUACCGGAUAGUGCAAGAUGAGCUCGCGGCCUAUCAGCUUGUUGGUGGGGUAAUGGCCUACCAAGGCGUCGACGGGUAGCCGGCCUGGGAGGGUGGACGGCGUCAAUGUGACUGAGAUACGUACCAGAUGCGUACGGGGGGCAGCAGUGGGGAAUAUUGCACAGUGGGCGGAAGCCUGAUGCAGCGGCGCGGCGUGGGGGAUGAAGGCCUUCUGGUUGUAAACUCCUUUCGACAGGGACGCGGUACCUGUAUAAGAAGCACCGGCUAACUACGUGCCAGCCGCCGCGGUAAUAC
This 408-nucleotide ribosomal RNA is filed under the name uncultured bacterium. Its description in RNAcentral is "partial 16S ribosomal RNA". It matches the Rfam family "Bacterial small subunit ribosomal RNA", at positions 28 to 526 of the family's 1533-position model. The record is from RNAcentral.